This 200-nucleotide ribosomal RNA is filed under the name uncultured bacterium. Its description in RNAcentral is "partial 16S ribosomal RNA". It matches the Rfam family "Bacterial small subunit ribosomal RNA", at positions 28 to 220 of the family's 1533-position model. The record is from RNAcentral.
GACGAACGCUGGCGGCGUGCCUAACACAUGCAAGUGGAGCGACGAACCAGGCUUCGGCCUGGGGCAAAGCCGCGAACGGGUGAGUAACACGUGGGUAACCUGCCCCGAUGACUGGGACAACCCGAGGAAACUCGGGCUAAUACCGGAUGUGCUCUGCCGGCAUAUGCCGGCUCGAGCAAAGGAAGCUUCGGCCUCCGCAU